This is a long non-coding RNA of Canis lupus familiaris (dog), 4889 nucleotides long. RefSeq lists it as uncharacterized. The transcript is spliced from 2 exons. The record is from RefSeq and is a predicted model, not a curated record. Lineage: Eukaryota; Metazoa; Chordata; Mammalia; Carnivora; Canidae.
CCAAAGGCAGGCGCCAAACCGCUGCGCCACCCAGGGAUCCCCCCACCUUUUUUUUUUUUUUAAUUUUUAUUUAUUUAUGAUAGUCACAGAGACCUGGAGAAAUUUUUUGAAGAAAAUGAGGAUUGAAGAAUGGGUAGGACUGUGGUAGAAGGAUAUGGGGCCUUGUUCCAGGUACAGGGGAAAGGUAGAGAAGUGAGAUCGUAACAGGGUGCCAUAGAAAAUUAUUUAAUGAAUUUAAAUAAAGGUUCUAGAAUAACAUAAAAUGAGGCUGAGGGCACCUGGGUGGCUCAGGCAGUUAAACAUCUGCCUUCAGCUCAGGACAUGAUCCCAGGGUCCUGAGAUUGAGCCCCACAUCAGGCUCCCUGCUAAGGAAAAUAAAAAUAAAAUUAAAAAUAAAAUUUAAAAAAAUAAAAAUUAAAUAAAAUACAAUGAAGCUGAAUAUUAUCCAUUUUAAUAGGCUGAUGUAUAGCUUUAUUCACCUAGGAAAUAAUGUCCUCAUAAGUGCCAUGACAAUGUGUACCAGUUAUAACACCACUUCUUUUAAAGAGAGUUAAAAUUCAGUGAAGAAGAAUAAGUAUGAGAAUUCUAGUGCUUCUCACACUAAAUUAUUCUUGGAUCUGGGUGUAUCUUCAUCUGGAUAUCUAUUUCUUAUAUUUGCAAAAUAACAUCAAAUAUUAAAAUGAAGACUCUGGUGGAAAAUCAAUUAUCAUUUUUCAAAGAUAUUUUGUGGGUCACUUCUUACAUGCCACUCACUCCCAGAGUUCCAUUAUAGAGUUACAAAUAAACACUGCUUCUUAAAAUGUAUUUUUAAAUGAAUGACUCUUCAGUUUAAGAGAAGAAAAAAAAAUCAUUUUUAAAAUUCUGCAUUCAGAAGCCGUACAUUCAUGCUUAUGCAAGUGAAUGAAAGUUUAGAAAUAUAUUUAAAUAUGUUUAAAAGCCUGCAGAGAUAUCUUGCAAUCAGGAGGUAUCAGCAAUUGUAUGAACAACCUUAGAAUCUUCAAUAAAAAAAUACUAAAAGGCAAAGAAGCAGAGAAUAAAGGCACACUGCACACAUUCUAGAAACAUCAGAAUCCUAUAGGAAUCAAAAUAGCAAACUAAUACAAAUGUUUUUGGUGAUGCAACAUGCAAGAGUCUAGGAGUAGAACGUUGUUAAGGGUUAAUCUUCCUGAUAAGAAACCUCAAGUGAAGUGGAGACUAAACCUGGACGGAAAGCUUUGAAAUCAGGCCCAAGGAAUAUUUUACAGGGGAAAUGGGUUGAAAAGUGUAGAAUAUCAAAUUAGAAUGAAAUACGAGGCAAAUAAUAUGGAUGGAUGCAAGGGUUUUCAAGGGCAAAAGAAACACUUGUUCUUAUCUGUGGCUGAUUAAUCAAGCUGGAUAAAGCAGUGGUUAAUUGUCCAGAACCGUAUAUUUAAUUUCAAUUUGACUUUGCUCUUCUAUGUAGCCUCAAACUCUAGCCCCAUCCUAACAGAAGUCUUUCACUUACAGUCUCCAUUCAGUCGGUACAUAAAGCUUUUGAGUGCUCAUAAAGAACAAGGCUCUACGUAGGUGCUGUUGAAAGAAAAAGGUGUUAAAAUUAAAAGAAGGUGUUAUAUCUCCUGCCCUCAAAGAUACAAACAAUAUUCAUAUUUAAGGCUCCGCCUAAAGCCUAAAGCAAAUUAUUGACAUUUCAGGACCCACUUAAGGACCACUUGUUUGCAAAACUUUUCCUUUAUAUUUACCAUAGCUGUAUAUCAGAUAUCCCCAGCACCAUCAUUCUGAACUUGACUAUGGAACUGCAAACAAUAUAAAAAUUUAUAGAAGCAGAAGUGAAAGUGGUGUGUAGAGUAAGUAAAAGUGUCCAUUGUCACUUCUCUGGAAGCAUGUAUCCUUCUAGAUCUCAGAUAGAAAGAUGUAUAUGUGAAUGUAUGUAUGGAGAGAUAGGCAGACAGAUGGUAGCUAGCUACAUGAUAGGGAAGUAGAGGAUUGAUCAACUGAGUGAUUGAUGAUAGCGGUUAAGAACAUAGACUCUGGAUCUAGACAGUCAAGGUUUGAGUCCCAGCUCUACAAUUUACUACAUAUCUGAUCUCAGUUUUCUCAUCUGUAAAAGUGGGGAUGACAGCAGUCCUACCUCACUGGGUUACUGUAAGGAUUAAGUGAAGUUCUAUGUGGGUUGUUUCCAGCAGUGCUUGGUACAUAGUAAGAUUUUUAUAAGGGUUAGCUACUCUUCUAUUUUUUUUAAAGAUUUUAUUUAUUUAUUCAUGAUAGUCACACAGAGAGAGAGAGAGAGAGGCAGAGACACAGGCAGAGAGAGAAGCAGGCUCCAUGCACCGGAAGCCCGACGUAGGAUUCGAUCCUGGGUCUCCAGGAUCGCGCCCUAGGCCAAAGGCAGGCGCCAAACCGCUGCGCCACCCAGGGAUCCCUCUUCUAUUAUCAAUACACAUAAACUAAGUUUUUUAAGAAAUGAAAUUUUAUUAUGUGCAUUUUCUCACUUCAUAAUAUGUCAAGGAGAAUAGACUUAUAAUGUGGCUAUCUGUUUCACUCCAUAACUGCUGCAUAAUAUCCCACAGUAGGGUUGGGUCAGAAUAUUUUUUUAAAAGAUUUUAUUUAUUUAUUCAUGAGAAACAUAGAGAGAGAGAGAGGCAGAGACACAGGCAGAGGGAGAAGCAGAUUCCCCUCAGGGAGCCUGAUGUGGGACUGGAUCCCCCGACUCCAGGAUCAUGCCCUGGGCCAAAGGCAGGUGCUAAACCACUAGACCACCUGGGAUUCCUGAGUCAGAAUAUCUUUAACCAUUCUCCUGUUGAUGGCCAUUUAGUUUGUUUCUUGGUACUAAAGAGAAUAUUAAAAUUAUGACACCAAUCUUAAAUGUUUAAAUGGUUUGAAAUCAGGAUAAAUAAAAGUUUAUGGUGGGAGUAGAGAGGAUGACUUGCUAUCUGACUAUUUGGGAGAAUAUUAUUUGAAAAACUGCCAUAUUUGACUUCUAGUCUUCCCAGAUGGUACACCUCCAUUCACGCUGAUUCUAUUCAGACUGAUACCCAUGCCGCCCUAUACCCAAACUCCAUAACCUAUCACACUCUGUAAAUGAUACUAAGAUAAUCCAACUUCAUUAACAUUAACACAAAUAUAUAUGAAAGCCAAUUAAAUUCACUUUUUUUCUUUCUUUCUUUCUUUCUUUCUUUCUUUCUUUCUUUCUUUCUUUCUUUCUUUUUCUUUCUUUCUUUCUUUCUUUUUUUUUAGGGGGGACACGCGAUGGGGGUGGGGAACAAGGGCAAAGGGUAAGGGAGAACGAGAAGAUCCCACAACCCUGAGAUCAUGACCCGAGCUGAAGUCAGGAGUCUGAUGCUGAACUGACUAAGCCACUCAGGUGCCCCUAAUUAAAUUGAUUUUAAGUUAUUGUGAUCUUAGAACAUGCAGUCCAUUUAUAAUAUAAUGGAGCCUCAGCCAAGUAUAGUCCUCUCUCAUUCAAACAAGAUACUAUGGUACAGUGACUUGAAAAUGUUCAGGGCUCAUUGUGGGAAUACUCUUAAUAACCCAUGUUUCUGGAACACCUGGCUGGCUCAGUAGGUGGAGCCUGCGACUCUUGAUCUCAAGAUUGUAAAUUCAAGCCCAAUGUUGGGUGUAGAGAUUACUUAAAAAUAAGAUCUUAAACAAACAAACAAAUCCAUGCAUCCCUGGUAAUACUUUUUUUGACGUGAAAAUGUUCAUUGAAGUAGGAGGGUAUUUGGGGGAUGCUCAUUUUGUUAAAAUUUAAAAAUGGUCUGUAAACGUGUAAACUGAAUUUUAUUUUUUGGCUAAUUAAGUAUCUGAGAGACACUAACUUUGCCACACUCUAAGAAAUUACUUAUCAGCCUGAACCAAAAUGUAGGGAGCAAUUUAAUUGUGAAAGGAAGACAAUAUACCUGUUGGGGGAAAAAAAGAAAACACCUCAAUAGACCCCUUCCAUUCAGGAUGGGUUAACCUAAUAAAAGGGAAACACAUUUGAAUUUGCUCACCACUGCUUAAUGAGAAGAUGAAAAAAUGCUGCAGUUUUGGUAAUAAACUCUUGCUUUUUACACCCCAAGCAGGUGCAUGGCAUUGUGAUAUCAACACUGUACUUGUUCCUCAUCAGCCCCCCACCGUUCUUCCAAAUGGGAACGGAAUACUGUACAUUCUACACAUUUUUUCUUUCCCACUCGGGACUCAGGGUCAGAAGAGUGGCUAUAGCCCAGUGGAAGGCCUGCCAGUUGUUUUGGAAUUCUUGCAGGUGUUUAAAAAGCAAAGGAUUCUUUUCAGAGGCACAUCUGCAUUUGUCAUAUGCCAUUUGUGCUAAAGCCUGUGGUGUUUUUGUUUGUUGGUUUGACAGAUUGACAUGUAAUGGCCAGGACCAUCAGGGCGGCUGCUCCCAACAAAGUCAUUCUGAUAGCUGGAGUUCUCUAGAAAUCAACUGCCCUGAAUUACCCGUGAUUUUUCUCUGCCCUUCAAAGGAAAAUGUGUUGUUCUCAUGUUCUUUUGGCUUUUUGUUUGCUUUCACAAUUUUUUUCUGGUUACAUUGUUUUAAAUUCUAAGUUUAGAUGGAAUAGGGACUUUGAUAGGAUGAGAAUAUAUAUCUACAAAAAGUUGUCAAAAUCAACCAGUCCUUGAAAUUUACUCAGAAAUUACUAAAGAGAUCUGUGGCAUUUAAAUAUAUAUCUCGAUGUCUAAAAGGUGAGAGAACACCUCUGUGUCAGGAAUGAGGGAACUUCAGAGAGGCAAGAACCGCAACUUUUCGACUUUUUAAUAUUUUUAAACGCUGAAAUAAAAUUCCCAUUUUAAGUUAUUUUUGAAACCUUUUUUUCCUUUUUUGUAUCAGCGAAUGACCUACCUGAAUUUAUAUAUAAGCAUGUGUCUUAUCAAUCAUGUUACCACCAAGCCAAGUAAAGAUGCGUGAAAGCAAA